GAUUUUUAGAGCAAAUGUUUUUUCGCCUUUCUUUUCUUCUAUUCUGCCUUUUGCGGAACCAAGCUGAGACUUGCUGCUUCAAUGAUUGCUAAAAUGUAGCGUCACCUACCUGGGUAAGUGGGAAAUAAACUUUAAUGGUAAA
Molecule: long non-coding RNA, 142 nt
Organism: Poecile atricapillus (Black-capped chickadee)
Lineage: Eukaryota; Metazoa; Chordata; Aves; Passeriformes; Paridae
Exons: 2
Source: RefSeq, a predicted model, not a curated record